Molecule: ribosomal RNA, 465 nt
Filed under: uncultured bacterium
Lineage: Bacteria
Description: partial 16S ribosomal RNA
Rfam family: Bacterial small subunit ribosomal RNA
Source: RNAcentral
GACGAACGCUGGCGGCGUGCUUAACACAUGCAAGUCGAACGGAAAGGCCCCUUUGGGGGUACUCGAGUGGCGAACGGGUGAGUAACACGUGAGUAACCUGCCCUUGACUUCGGGAUAACUUCAGGAAACUGGGGCUAAUACCGGAUAGGAAUCCUUGCUGCAUGGUGGGGGUUGGAAAGCUUCGGCGGUUUUGGAUGGACUCGCGGCUUAUCAGCUUGUUGGUGGGGUAGUGGCUUACCAAGGCUUUGACGGGUAGCCGGCCUGAGAGGGCGACCGGCCACAUUGGGACUGAGAUACGGCCCAGACUCCUACGGGAGGCAGCAGUGGGGAAGAGUGCACAAUGGGCGGAAGCCUGAUGCAGCAACGCCGCGUGCGGGAUGACGGCCUUCGGGUUGUAAACCGCUUUCAGCAGGGGCGAAGCUUGUGGUGACGGUACCUGCAGAAGAAGCACCGGCUAACUACGUG